Non-coding RNA from Salvelinus sp. IW2-2015, 191 nucleotides. Lineage: Eukaryota; Metazoa; Chordata; Actinopteri; Salmoniformes; Salmonidae. The record is from RefSeq and is a predicted model, not a curated record.
ACUCCAUGCUGCUGAAAAGGCAGCUAGACAACAUCCAGGCCACCUACAACAAAGACUACAACUAUGCUGUGGGAUAUGACAGCCCAAUGAAGAUUCUGAAUAUGUACAACGAGGUGUGGUACAUGGUUGAGGGAGAGCCUGUGUGCCCUACCUCCUCCUAAACAUCCUCCUCCAUUACUGCUGAGUCUGGC